GGUGCCGGAUAGCUCACUCGGUUAAAGCAUCGCAUUGCGACUAUCAUGGCGCGGGUUCGAGCCCCGGUCGUACCA
Gymnothorax javanicus (giant moray) is the source of this 75-nucleotide non-coding RNA. The record is from the annotation of a GenBank genome assembly. NCBI's taxonomy places the organism in Eukaryota, Metazoa, Chordata, Actinopteri, Anguilliformes, Muraenidae.